Molecule: transfer RNA, 71 nt
Filed under: Dicerorhinus sumatrensis (Sumatran rhinoceros)
Lineage: Eukaryota; Metazoa; Chordata; Mammalia; Perissodactyla; Rhinocerotidae
Also listed under: 2 other names
Description: tRNA-Arg
Source: RNAcentral
UGAUAAUUAGUUUAGACCAAAAAAUAAAUGAUUUCGACUCAUUAGACUAUGAUUUACUUCAUAAUUAUCAA